CGAAACGGAGAUUAGGCAGGCGAUGAAAACUCCACAUCGAACAGAUCCUAAUUGCAAAGCGUAGCAUACAUUUAAUGUUACGAACACCUGAAAAAUAAUGUUUAUUGAUAUUUUUCGUGAAGUUUACCUGUGACGCCGAGUCACAUCCAUGAUCGAAAAGUUCUCCCAGAGGACUAGACGCCCCAAUCCUUCUUGCUUGUUUUCCAUCAGUUGCAUCUAACGUUUGAUACACAAAAAGCCCGAAUGCGGCCAGAAAAUAGGCCCACGC
Non-coding RNA from Caenorhabditis elegans, 268 nucleotides. Ensembl annotates it as ncRNA. Its record names the gene Y49A3A.6. The record is from Ensembl. Lineage: Eukaryota; Metazoa; Nematoda; Chromadorea; Rhabditida; Rhabditidae.